RNAcentral lists this ribosomal RNA (253 nucleotides) under uncultured bacterium. RNAcentral's name for it is "partial 16S ribosomal RNA". It matches the Rfam family "Bacterial small subunit ribosomal RNA", at positions 524 to 776 of the family's 1533-position model. The record is from RNAcentral.
UACGUAGGGCGCAAGCGUUGUCCGGAAUUAUUGGGCGUAAAGAGCGUGUAGGCGGCUUGUUAAGUCUUGCGUGAAAUCUCGGGGCUCAACCCCGAGCGGUCGUGAGAAACUGGCAGGCUAGAGUGCGGGAGAGGAGAGUGGAAUUCCUGGUGUAGCGGUGAAAUGCGCAGAUAUCAGGAAGAACACCCGUGGCGAAGGCGGCUCUCUGGAACGCAACUGACGCUGAGACGCGAAAGCGUGGGGAGCAAACAGG